UCAAAAAUAUUAAUAAAUAUUUAAUGUUGAGGAUUCUUCAUAAAGGUUUUACGUGUGCACAGAAUGUUAUGGUAAUCUCCAAAGCAUUCCCAUUACAAAAUACAUCCGAUGUCUAUGGAUAAGUUAUUUUUAUGCCCCCUUUCGAAGAAAAGGGGGUAUAUAGUUUUCGCACUGUCUGUCAGUCUGUCACACUUUUCGUGUCCGCUUUCUAAUUCAAAUAAUUUUCAUUCGAUCUUUACCAAACUUGGUCAGAAGUUGUGUCUAGACAAUAUCUAGGUCAAGUUCGAAUUUGGGUCAUGCCGGGUCAAAAACUAGGUCACGGGGUCACUUAGUGCAUUUCAAGGAUUUAGCAUGGUGUCUGCUCUCUAAUUGAAGUAGUUUGCAUCAACAUUCAUGCGCCUGUCAAGUAUCGGGCAUUCAGCGUGAGAGUCGCGCAUUUACGCAGCAAAACACCCUCUCACACAGCCAAAUCUUAUGCUCUCCUUUUUUAUACGCCCGUUUUUAAAAACGGGACGUAUUAUAGUUUCACCCUUGGCGGACGGCGUCCACAGCAGUGUCCGCUCUCUAAUUUAAAUAGUUUUCAUCCGAUCUUCACCAAACUUGGUCAGAAGUUGUGUCUAGACAAUAUCUAUGUCAAGUUAAAAUAUGGGUCAUGCCGGGUCAAAAACUAGGUCACGAGGUCACUUAGUGCAUUUCAAGGAUUUAGCAUGGUGUCUGCUUUCUAAUUGAAGUAGAUUUCACCCGAUCUUCACCAAAUUUGGUCAGAAGUUGUGUCUAGAUGAUAUGUAGGUCAAGUUGGAAUAUGGGUCAUGCAGGGUCAAAAACGAGGUCACAAGGUCACAUAUUGCAUUUCAAGUAUUUAGCAUGGUGUCCGCUCUCUUAUUGAAGUAGUUUUCAUAUGAUCUUCACCAAAUUUAGUCAGAUGUUAUACUAAAUGAUAUCUAGGUCAAGUUUAAAUAUGGGUCAUGCCGGGUCAAUAACUAGGUCUCGAGGUCACUUAGUGCAUUUCAAGCAUUGAGCAUGGUGUCCAAAACCUUCGAAAGGGCAUAUCUUGUGACAGUUUGGCACUCUUGUUUAAAACUGACGAUGCAUGAAACUAUUUUCACUCAUAUUUUUUAUGUAAUUUAAAUGCCAAAAUUUAGAAAAUGCAUAUGAAUGUGAAACGAAACUGUAAGUAAGUAAAUAGUGUUACAGUUACUGUACAAACAACCCAUUUUUUAAAAGAAGCAUUUUUUUUUUGUAAACUGUACUGAUGGUUUUGCUAGUUAUGCCAUAGGUUGUUGAUAACUCGCGUUUGUUCAGCUAAUUUCAUUAUUUCUUUUAUAGCCAUUAAUGUGUUAUCAUGGUCAUUGACGUGAACAAAAGCAAACUGUUAUUUUUACAGCAUCCAGUAAAAAUACCCAUAUUGUAAAUCACACGGGUACUACUGCUCUAAUGUUUGAUCAAGAAUGCAUCUAAUGGAUAAUCAAACUAGUGGUUUCACUCAAUUGAUGUUUGCAUAUAUAGGUAGGUGUACCUAGAGAUUGAGCUGGAGACAGUGAAGGUGCUGACCUCUGUGUGGAACACUUAGAAGCUGGCAAGUUUUCAUAUUGAAGGGUAUGGUUCCCAACCGCCCAUCACACACAGAAUGAAGCUUGUCGUCUUCCGCAGUAAAAACUGGGUGCUGGAAGAUGCUUACUGCUAUAUUGACUGCUUCCGAGCGCUUCCUGGACCUAAAAAUUAUCUCCCAGCAGCAACCUCCCCAAGGUGUGACGAGAGUCUUCAAGGUCAAAGGUCCUAGGCCACUAAGAAAUAUUUCUUUUAAAUCUCACUCAAAUGGUGACCAUAUUGUUUCAAUAUGCAGAGUUUGGAUUUGGCAUCACUCACACUU
This is a long non-coding RNA of Dreissena polymorpha, 1870 nucleotides long. RefSeq lists it as uncharacterized. The record is from RefSeq and is a predicted model, not a curated record. The transcript has 3 exons. Lineage: Eukaryota; Metazoa; Mollusca; Bivalvia; Myida; Dreissenidae.